GCUAGGACUACCAGGGUAUCUAAUCCUGUUUGCUCCCCUAGCUUUCGUGCCUCAGUGUCAGUUUCUGUCCAGGUAGCCGCCUUCGCCACCGGUGUUCCUCCUGAUAUCUACGCAUUUCACCGCUACACCAGGAAUUCCGCUACCCCCUCCAGAACUCUAGCCUGCCAGUUUUGGAUGCAGGCUCUGGGUUGAGCCCAGAGUUUUCACAUCCAACUUAACAGACCGCCUACGCACCCUUUACGCCCAGUAAUUCCGAACAACGCUUGCCCCCCCCGUAUUACCGCGGCUGCUGGCACGGAGUUAGCCGGGGCUUCUUCUACGGGUACCGUCAACCUUGCGGUUUCUUCCCCGUCGAAAGGGUUUUACGUCCCAAGAGACUUCAUCACCCACGCGGCGUUGCUUGGUCAGGGUUGCCCCCAUUGCCAAAAAUUCCCCACUGCUGCCUCCCGUAGGAGUCUGGACCGUGUCUCAGUUCCAGUGUGUCCGACCGUCCUCUCAGACCGGAUACUGAUCGUAGCCUUGGUGAGCCAUUACCUCACCAACUAGCUAAUCAGCCGCGGGCUCCUCCUAGAGCGAAUUGCUCCUUUCAUAACGAAAUCCGCAGAUCCCGCUAUCGUAUGCGGUAUUAGCACCGGUUUCCCGGUGUUAUUCCCCACUCCAGGGCAGAUUACCCACGUGUUACUCACCCGUGCGCCGCUGUACUCAGGGAGUUGCCCCCCUUUUCUCGCUCGACUUGCAUGUGUUAGGCACGCCGCCAGCGUUGAUUCUGAGCCAGGAUCAAACUC
This 785-nucleotide ribosomal RNA is filed under the name uncultured bacterium. RNAcentral's name for it is "partial 16S ribosomal RNA". The record is from RNAcentral.